ACGCGAAAACUUUACAAUGCUGGCAACAGCGAUAAGGGAACCUCGAGUGCCAGGUUACAAAUCUGGCUGUCGAGAUGCCUAAAAAGCAUUUCAUAGCAAGGGCCGGGCAAGACCGGUGCCAGCCGCCGCGGUAACACCGGCGGCUCGAGUGGUAACCGUUAUUAUUGGGUCUAAAGGGUCUGUAGCCGGCCGGAUAAGUCUCUUGGGAAAUCUGGCAGCUUAACUGUCAAGCUUUCAGGAGAUACUGUCUGGCUCGAGGCCGGGAGAGGUGAGAGGUACUUCAGGGGUAGGGGUGAAAUCUUGUAAUCCUUGAAGGACCACCAGUGGCGAAGGCGUCUCACCAGAACGGACCUGACGGCAAGGGACGAAAGCUAGGGGCACGAACC
RNAcentral lists this ribosomal RNA (386 nucleotides) under uncultured prokaryote. RNAcentral's name for it is "bacterial SSU rRNA". It matches the Rfam family "Archaeal small subunit ribosomal RNA", at positions 339 to 725 of the family's 1478-position model. The record is from RNAcentral.